AUUAGUAAAAGUCGUAACAAGGUUUCCGUAGGUGAACCUGCGGAAGGAUCAUUAUUGAAUGAACUUGACUUGGUUGCUGCUGGUCUUUUCAAAGGCAUGUGCACACCUUGUCAUCUUUAUAUCUCCACCUGUGCACCUUUUGUAGACCUGGAUUCAACAUUCCGAGGCAACUCGGUCGUGAGGAAUUGCUUCACAGCUUUCCUUGUAGGUUUCCAGGCCUAUGUUUUUCAUAUACACCAUAAGAAUGUAACAGAAUGUCAUUAUUAGACUUCAUUGUCUUAUAAACUAUAUACAACUUUCAGCAACGGAUCUCUUGGCUCUCGCAUCGAUGAAGAACGCAGCGAAAUGCGAUAAGUAAUGUGAAUUGCAGAGUUCAGUGAAUCAUCGUAUCUUUGAACGCACCUUGCGCUCCUUGGUAUUCCGAGGAGCAUGCCUGUUUGAGUGUCAUUAAAUUCUCAACCUUUGUCAACUUUUUUGGUUGACCAAUGGCUUGGAUGUGGGGGUUUUGCAGGUUUCUCUUUUGAAAUCAGCUCCCCUGAAAUGUAUUAGCUGGUUGCGUUGUGUAGACCUGUCUAUUGGUGUGAUAAUUAUCUACGCCGUGGACUGUUCGCCAUUUUAGCACUGCUUCUAACUGUCUGUUCAUUCAGACGAUAUAUGACAAUUGACCUCAAAUCAGUAG
RNAcentral lists this ribosomal RNA (679 nucleotides) under uncultured fungus. RNAcentral's name for it is "eukaryotic LSU rRNA". The stretch from base 294 to 447 matches the Rfam family "5.8S ribosomal RNA". The record is from RNAcentral. Lineage: Eukaryota; Fungi.